RNAcentral lists this non-coding RNA (27 nucleotides) under Mus musculus (house mouse). The record is from RNAcentral. Lineage: Eukaryota; Metazoa; Chordata; Mammalia; Rodentia; Muridae.
UGNGAGGGCCCUCUUGCAGCUGAUUGU